Molecule: small RNA, 924 nt
Filed under: Pongo abelii (Sumatran orangutan)
Lineage: Eukaryota; Metazoa; Chordata; Mammalia; Primates; Hominidae
Description: processed transcript
Source: RNAcentral
CCGCUACCGGUGCGGUGGCAGCCUCGGCCGCCUCGGGUCAGGCGGAAGGUAAAAAAAUCACCGAUCUGCGGGUCAUCGAUCUCAAAUCCGAGCUGAAGCGGCGGAACUUAGACAUCACCGGAGUCAAGACCGUGCUCAUCUCCCGACUCAAGCAGGCUAUUGAAGAGGAAGGAGGCGAUCCAGAUAAUAUUGAAUUAACUGUUUCAACUGAUACUCCAAACAAGAAACCAACUAAAGGCAAAGGUAAAAAACAUGAAGCAGAUGAGUUGAGUGGAGAUGCUUCUGUGGAAGAUGAUGCUUUUAUCAAGGACUGUGAAUUGGAGAAUCAAGAGGCACAUGAGCAAGAUGGAAAUGAUGAACUAAAGGACUCUGAAGAAUUUGGUGAAAAUGAAGAAGAAAAUGUGCAUUCCAAGGAGUUACUCUCUGCAGAAGAAAACAAGAGAGCUCAUGAAUUAAUAGAGGCAGAAGGAAUAGAAGAUAUAGAAAAAGAGGACAUCGAAAGUCAGGAAAUUGAAGCUCAAGAAGGUGAAGAUGAUACCUUUCUAACAGCCCAAGAUGGUGAGGAAGAAGAAAAUGAGAAAGGGGCAACAGUAGCAAUACAUGUGGUCAGUAGGAGGUUAUGGAAGAGUCCUUGGACAGAAGUCAAAGGAUCCUACUUUGGACUAGAAAGGACAUGGAGCAGGGUUAAGCAAGGCAAAUAAAAAGCCUAGAAGCAAUGAUGAAGUGAAGCUACUGACUGAAAAUCUCACAUGCCCGAAGCCUUUCUGUUUUGGGGGAAUGCAAGACAUAUUUGAAAACGGUAAUUGCAGACUGACUGGACAGGAUGAAGACUGGAAAUAACCAAUUUCCUGAACGUCACGGAGCAGGAGCAUCUUUGGAGCCUUCUGUACCAGUUUUCCAUACGAAUCUGGACUACUCAAGCAU